AUCUAUAUAUAUAUAUAUAUAUAUAUAUACAUGUAAAGCGACUUAAGUACGUAAACGUAUCAUGCACGAGGUAUAGCUGUGUUUUGUUGGCGGGCGGGGCGCGAGGCAUAUAUGGCGGCAGCGGCGUCGGCUGUAGGGAUAUAUAAAUGAAUAUUAACAUAUACGUAUAUAUAAAUAAUAAUAUAUAUAUGUAUAUAUAUAUUAAUAUUAGCGGCGAUGGUAAGAAUAUAUAAUCUUCGCAUAAUAUCGUGGCACUUUCGUUGGCGUUGACGACGCUAUGUCCGGCGUGGUCCUCGGGCGUCAAAAGGUUAGCAGCGUUGAUGGCGACGGUGCGCGAGUGGAGAUCGGUUUAUUGACGUUGCCACUUUGACAACAGGAAGAAUACUACGGUAUCAUUAGCGGCGGUACGUCGUCGGCCGUGCGGCACUUGCUGGACUUUGCACCGCGGCGUUUACUCAAAAUUAUACAGAAAAAAAUAGUGUAGGCGCUGACUGGUGAGCGGGGUGGGGUGAAUGCGUUACGACGGUCUAGUCUCAAGGUCAUAGACGACGGGAUACGCGACAUAAUAACACGUGCCGCGUGGAGUUACAAACUUACAACAUACAAACAAUAUACAAACAUACAUGUGAAACUAAUAUAAGCGUGUUAAAAAAGCAAAAGGUGUUUCAUAUGCAACAGCCCGUACCACUACCUUAGGCGGGACUGCCGAAGUAAAGUAACAAUGAAAAAGCGUUUGAAAAUCGCGAGGCGAGAAGUGGCGAAUUUGCGACGCCUUCUUAAAGAAGCUAAGGAGGAAACGGCACCACAGCAGCAGGAGGGACCACCACCUCCUCCUGACGUAGAAAGCCGCCGGAACAAGAAUGCAAUGAGAGUGGGCAAUGAUUUUUUUUGUAUACUAUUAAAAUAAAUAGUGUG
This is a long non-coding RNA of Daktulosphaira vitifoliae (grape phylloxera), 915 nucleotides long. RefSeq lists it as uncharacterized. Lineage: Eukaryota; Metazoa; Arthropoda; Insecta; Hemiptera; Phylloxeridae. The transcript is spliced from 4 exons. The record is from RefSeq and is a predicted model, not a curated record.